This is a long non-coding RNA of Gorilla gorilla gorilla (western lowland gorilla), 1645 nucleotides long. RefSeq lists it as uncharacterized. NCBI's taxonomy places the organism in Eukaryota, Metazoa, Chordata, Mammalia, Primates, Hominidae. The transcript is spliced from 9 exons. The record is from RefSeq and is a predicted model, not a curated record.
UGUUCUAGGCUCAUGCGUGUCUGCGCGCGGGGCUGCUCCAUUCCCGGCUUAGAGGACCAGGACAAGGGCUAGCCGCCGCUGCAUGCUGGAGGCUGUGGCUGCGGCACCACAGCUCGCCUCACUGCGGUUGGUGGCAGCGACGGAGACUGCAAUGUGGCUGGAGUGCUGUGGUCAUGGACAUGUUCACCCAUGUGGACAUCUUCAAAGACCUGCUGGACGCCGGCUUCAAGAGGAAAGCAGCUUUGUACAUCAUCGUGGAUGAGAGUAAAGUCAAGUACGUUCUGCAUAUGUGUGAGCGGACCCGCAUGCACCUGGGGCACCUCAAGGUAGAAACAGAACAGAAAGCCAUUCUUGAUUUUGGUGACUGGAGUUGUGGAGGCUGGAAGUCUCUGCCAAUAAAAGCACUGAACCGGACACACACCACUUACCAAUCAAGUUGAUUCUCAAUGUUAGCACCGUGGCCUGGCAAGAUCGGACGUUUUCCGAGGAACCCGGCUGAGCUCCUGUGAGAGCUGCUCCCUGCACUGAUGUGGUCCCUUGGCUGGCAGGCUGCUCUGUGAUCAACCAGGUGACACCUGCCUGUUAUGAGGGACAGGUAGGAGAGGAUGGGCUUUCCAUCAAAACAAACAAACAAACAAAAAGUCCCAAGAAGGAACUCGGCUCUUCAGAGAUUCAGGACUCAGGAGAAGACUUCGUGGUGACAGUUGACGUAGAAGUUGACAGCCCAAACCCCACACCAGUUCUUAGAAGUAUUGAUCUCCAAGAAAGAGCAGAAAGAGCUACAACUCCUGCUCCCAGGGACUUACAGGUCCCAGAAUGAGAAAGUCCCUCUUUAGUGGAUCUAGAGAAUCUAUUCGUUAAACCUGGAGAAGAACAUGAGGUUAUAGUUUCUUUUUCUCCAAGGGAUCCCAAAGUUUGGGAGUAAAGGAUCUAAAAAAUGUUUGUGCAGCCAUCUGGACCUCAGUAUGAAGUGGUGUUAAAAGGUGAAGUCCAUUCUUCAGGAAGUAAACCUCUGCCACGUGGAUCAUGCUCAGACAUCCUAUUGAAGUUUGUCCAACAAUUUCUUGCUUUGGAAGGUGUCCCUCUUGGUGGAACACAGUUUCACCUUUUGCUGGAACUCAGAGCUACAAAUGAUGCUUAAUGUACCAACGCCUUCUGACUGAGCUCCUCUCUGCCCUGAAUACAAGAGACCCUAAUAGUUAUGUGGAAAUAUCAUCGCCCCGUUCAGCAUGAAGAAGUUACAAAAGACGGACCUUCAUCCUUCUGCAACCCUUAGGAUUAAGGGUCCUCUUGUAAAAGGGAGGGGAAAUAUGUAAGAAGCAUUCAAACGAGAGCGACUCCAUUUUGAACAAGGGCUAAGAAAAAUGAAGCUGGGUCCUUUUGGGCUGCAUGCCCAGGAGGUUAAGCAUUCUUAGCCUCAAGAUGUUUACAAUUGAGGCAACAGAUUAAUAAUGUUUCCUAAACAGACUCAGGACUUAACAGACUCAGGAACGUCUUGAUACUUUGAGAACAAAAGCACUUCUAGUUUUAAAUACGCAUUGUACCUAGGAUGGAUGCUUUUCUUACUUUUGGAAAUGCCCUACCCUGUCUAUGGAGUCACUAUUCAUUCCCUCCUUUAUUAAAGUUGCUUCUAUUUUGCACUGUG